ACAGAGGUGGCGAGCGUUGUUCGGAUUUACUGGGCGUAAAGGGCGCGUAGGCGGCCGCGUGUGUCGGGUGUGAAAUCCCAGGGCUCAACCCUGGAAGUGCGCCCGAAACUGCACGGCUCGAGCGCGGGAGGGGAGAUCGGAAUGCAGGGUGUAGCGGUGAAAUGCGUUGAUAUCCUGCAGAACACCGGUGGCGAAGGCGGGUCCCUGGAACGCAACUGACGCUGAGGCGCGAAAGUCGGGGGAGCAAACAG
Molecule: ribosomal RNA, 251 nt
Filed under: uncultured prokaryote
Description: partial 16S rRNA
Rfam family: Bacterial small subunit ribosomal RNA
Source: RNAcentral